This 557-nucleotide ribosomal RNA is filed under the name Awaous gutum (tank goby). RNAcentral describes it as "partial 16S large subunit ribosomal RNA". It matches the Rfam family "Bacterial large subunit ribosomal RNA", at positions 1845 to 2605 of the family's 2925-position model. Lineage: Eukaryota; Metazoa; Chordata; Actinopteri; Gobiiformes; Gobiidae. The record is from RNAcentral.
AUAAGAGGUCCCGCCUGCCCUGUGACAAAAGUUUUAACGGCCGCGGUAUUUUGACCGUGCGAAGGUAGCGUAAUCACUUGUCUUUUAAAUAGAGACCUGUAUGAAUGGCAUAACGAGGGCUGAGCUGUCUCCUCCCCCCAGUCAAUGAAAUUGAUCUGUCCGUGCAGAAGCGGACAUAAACACAUAAGACGAGAAGACCCUAUGGAGCUUAAGACACAAGAGCAGCCCACGUAAACCCCCUCACUUUAAUUGAGAAAAACAAUAUGGCCCUCUGCCCUAUGUCUUUGGUUGGGGCGACCGCGGGGAAACAAAAAACCCCCACGUGGAACGGACACCUCCCGAAACAAGACCCACAAGUCGAACAAACAGAAAUUCUGACCAAAAAGAUCCGGCAAAGCCGAUCAACGGACCCAGUUACCCUAGGGAUAACAGCGCAAUCCCCUUUUAGAGCCCAUAUCGACAAGGGGGUUUACGACCUCGAUGUUGGAUCAGGACAUCCUAAUGGUGCAGCCGCUAUUAAGGGUUCGUUUGUUCAACGAUUAAAGUCCUACGUGAUC